AGGAGGGAUCUCGAGUGAGUAGGGGCCCGAGUUUGAGUGACCCAGUAGUGACCGGGAUAGGGGUCUGAGCCUGGAAAGGCAGCUGUGAGGGGGUGGAAGAGACUGAGCACAUAGUGGCUCAUCGCGGUCACGGACUUCCAGACGCGCUCGCGCUUGCUGCGCUCCGGGCUCAGUCCCCGCGGGCUUGCGCACCAGAUCGUGCGCCACGACGACCUCCUGCUGGGCGACUACCGCCUGCACCUGCGCCGCUCCCUGGUCCGGCGGCGCAUGCUCCAGGCCCUGGGGGCGGAGCCGAACGAGGAGGCCUGACGCCCGGGCCGGCCCCGGCAGCGCUUGCGCACCGCCCCGCGGGCUGGGGCCACCCACCCGGAGCCCCGGAGGACAGGGGGCGUUGCCUUCCCAGGAAGGAGGCGGGGCCGGCUCGAGGGGGUGGAUACUGUGAGUUUAAUUAUAAAGAAUGACCUGGUACAAAAGCCA
Molecule: small RNA, 477 nt
Filed under: Pan troglodytes (chimpanzee)
Lineage: Eukaryota; Metazoa; Chordata; Mammalia; Primates; Hominidae
Description: processed transcript
Source: RNAcentral